RNAcentral lists this ribosomal RNA (484 nucleotides) under uncultured bacterium. Its description in RNAcentral is "partial 16S ribosomal RNA". It matches the Rfam family "Bacterial small subunit ribosomal RNA", at positions 30 to 507 of the family's 1533-position model. The record is from RNAcentral.
AUUGAACGCUAGCGGGAUGCUUUACACAUGCAAGUCGAACGGCAGCGCGGACUUCGGUCUGGCGGCGAGUGGCGAACGGGUGAGUAAUGUAUCGGAACGUGCCCAGUAGCGGGGGAUAACUACGCGAAAGCGUAGCUAAUACCGCAUACGCCCUACGGGGGGAAGCAGGGGAUCGUAAGACCUUGCACUAUUGGAGCGGCCGAUAUCGGAUUAGCUAGUUGGUGAGGUAACGGCUCACCAAGGCGACGAUCCGUAGCUGGUUUGAGAGGACGACCAGCCACACUGGGACUGAGACACGGCCCAGACUCCUACGGGAGGCAGCAGUGGGGAAUUUUGGACAAUGGGGGCAACCCUGAUCCAGCCAUCCCGCGUGUGCGAUGAAGGCCUUCGGGUUGUAAAGCACUUUUGGCAGGAAAGAAACGUCGCGGGCUAAUACCCCGUGGAACUGACGGUACCUGCAGAAUAAGCACCGGCUAACUACGUG